Heterocephalus glaber (naked mole-rat) is the source of this 2867-nucleotide long non-coding RNA. NCBI's taxonomy places the organism in Eukaryota, Metazoa, Chordata, Mammalia, Rodentia, Bathyergidae. The record is from Ensembl.
CCAGUGUUUGGUGAUUUCCUGGCUCACUUGGCAUAACAUUUUUGGAGGCCCCAGCAAGAUCACCAUCACUUGGUGACUUCUGUCCAGUGGACGGCCCCUAUCUCAGGCCGCUGUGGCCUGAGAUAGGCCUGGGGAGGCCACCCUGACCAUUUGAUCAGGGCCCUGGGAGCUUGGGCCCCAAGCGGAGGAUUCGGGUCAUUCCAGCCAUCCUGAAGGGAGUUUAUCUGGAAAGCCUCCAGAAGUCAGCCUACCUGGGACAACUGCCAGCAGCUGUUCCACACCCUCUUCACUACGGAGGAGUGGGACUGGAUUUUUCAAGAGGCUGUUAAGGUGGCCCUGGGACCAAACCCAGACCUCAGUCCUGGCACUCCGGCUUAACUGCAGCAAGCAGAGGCUGAGGUGCCAACCCAUCAACCAAACUGGGACUCCAACACCGAUGCAGGCCCUCCAGGUAAUCCAACAGAAACUGUGAAAUCGAGUUUGGGAGGCCAGGCCGGCCCCUCAACCUGAUGUCACCUGCCAUAAAUUUCAGCUUGGAGAUCUGGUGCUGGUAAAGAGACAUUCAUCUAAGGCUCUGGAGCCACAUUGGGAAGGGCCUUUCCAGGUGAUCUUGAUGACGCCAUCUGCCGUAAAGGUCACAGGAAAGACCCCGUGGAUACAUCACUGCCACAUCAAAGCAGCUCCUGAGGACACCCCAGCGGACAAAUGGAGGAUCAUCAGUCAACCAGGCAACAAAAAGCUAAGACUGGGAUGGGUUGGAAAUAUAUCCCUUUCUUGUUAAUACUGAAAUGUGUGGGGGGACAACGACUGGGACAACUGCCCCAGUGGGAGAAAUGGCAGCUCCAGGAAAUUGACACGGGACACAUAUAUAGACGGACAAAGUUUGGGCCAGACCAAAAUGAUCUAAAGUUUAAAAUUGUUUCUUUGUGUCAACUGUUCCAUCCCCACCUGAAUCCCUUAAGUACAGACUGCUCAAAUGUAAUGUGGCACUUGGUAAUUACUCUGGGCAAUCUGACUGUCUCAGUCCUUAAGCCUUUACAAUUUUAUGCUUGCAAUUCAGAUGGCCAUUCAAAGUGUCAGAAAAGCCCCCCUUACUGUGUUGAGUGGGGUUGUCAGUUUCAGCUUUAAAAAAUGACAAUAAAUAGAUAGACAUUAACCCUGAGGCCCAAGAAAUAAAAAGAAAAACUGAUGAAUUACUUUUGUUGGAAAUAAUGUUGUUUGUUAUAUUAACCUGUAAUUCAACAUUUAUUAUGGUCAUUAUUUUUAAGUCAUUAUUUUCUAGAACAUUGACAAUAUUACCCCAAAAACAAUUGGACCUUGCUGGUAAUGUUUGGAUUCAGCUGGUACAAUCACUUAAUUUGUCUGAGUUCUGUUUAAAUGUAGACAUAAAUUUACAUUAUGUUUUAGGGAGUUGUCUUGCCCUGGUGUGCACUCCUGUGAGUCUGAUACAACCUUAUACCCUGUUUAAAGACAUCCCAGGAAAAAAUCUUAUGUACAAAAAUAGUUACAUUUGGGGGACCCCCUCUUAUUCUAAACCAAAAAAAUGCUAUUAAGUUAUAUACACUUCAGAUGAUUAUGUUAAACAAUACACAAAGUCUAAGAUUAAAAAGGUUAGGAAAAAUGACCUGUUAUGAGAAACAAAAAAUCAUAUAUAGUGAUGGUCAUGUACCUCUACCAUCAGGAUAGUUUUAUACAUGUAAAAGAGUAACAUUUAAUUAUAUCCCUGCCUACUUGUCUGAGACUCGGUGCUGCCUGAGUCACUUGCCCAUAAUAUUGCCAGAUCGAACUGAUUUGAUAGUGCCCCCAAAAUUAAACGUUGGUCAUCCUAUACUGAAUCAGGAUGUGAUGAUGAUGUAGGUCUCUUAACAGAUGCUCAAGCGAUACCUACGAUAGCAUCUGUGCUUGCUCAGCCUGCCAUAGGAAUUCAUGCAGAAAGGGCAGUGCAAAAAUUGGCAUGCAAGGUGGUCAAAGGUCCAAACACUACCUCAUCUGCCUUGGCAUUAAUUAAUCAGGAAUUACAAGAGCACCGACGGGCUAUACUAGACAACAGGGAAACAAUAGAUUACUUGUUCUUGUUCUUGUUCCAUCAUCAAGGAUGUAAAAAAAAAAUGUGUUGUUUUAAUAUGACUGAUAAUAGCCCAGGGAUUCAAGAAAAAAUAAAACCAAUUAAAAAAUUGACAGAAAAAAUACAUAAUAAAAAAUUAGGAUGGGAUUUGUUUCAAUGGUUAACUCAAUGGUUGCCUAAUAUUCAAUGGUUAAAACAGAUUUUUCUUGUAGUUAUAAUUGUAAUCAUAUGUUUGUUGCUAUCAUGUUGCAACAUACAAUGCCUACCUGACUGUAUGGGAUGCUCUCAGUGGUUCAUAGAUUAUUAAAUUUGACUAUUAUGUUGCUGAAUGAAAUGUAUAAACCCUUGCCUGAAAAAAUAUAUGACAGAGAUAAAUCAAAGGUUUGAUUUUGUACAAAAACCAGUGGGGAAUGUGAGACCAAAAGUGAACCUAAGCAAUGCCAUCUUGGCCUGUGAAUAAACUCCCCUCAUACCCCUCCCCUUACAGAGUGCUGGAAUUCUCCUAAAGAUGCAUUUUUGUAACCACUCUUCUAACCACUUGCUCUGCUUCUGUAGAUAUGCUUUAUCGCUCCCUGGGAACAGAUGGUGCCUGGUGCCUCCCUGUAACUGCUGAACCCUGUAGCUAUAGAAUGUCCUAUCUUGACAAGAUAGGUGGGUUGUGAAAGAUAUUUUGCAGCUGCUUGAAGGACAUGUUGACCUCUCCCUAAACUUCUUUGUUUGAGUUACCUAUAAAAGCUGUGCUGUCUCCUGCUUCUGGACUUCACCUCUCCUAGAGGGUGGAGUCCACAUACGUGAAUAAACU